UAAGCCCUUUUCACUUUACCAUUUGGAUCUUUGUGUCUACAAUGGACAUUCAAGAGGGCAACACAAAUAUCCUUCUAAAACCCAGGCAAAUUCUACAUAUUUUGCUUGUGUCCUGUCAGAGGAAACAUUU
Molecule: non-coding RNA, 130 nt
Organism: Xenopus laevis (African clawed frog)
Lineage: Eukaryota; Metazoa; Chordata; Amphibia; Anura; Pipidae
Source: Rfam